UGGCCGGCUUUCUCGUCGCAUGGUACGCGCGUUCGUUAGGUAUGCGACACGUAUGGCGUACCUACACCCAGUCGAGCUGCCGUACGCUCGUAGAAAGGCCGUUUGAAGGACAAGGGUCACGUCUGAACAACGAUACAUAUUUGCAGAGGGCGUGCGUGACGUAGAAGAUCGAAAGAGAAGCCAUCUAAUCCGAUAACCUCAAAUUUACGACUUUUACGCUCGCCUAUACGACGAAAGAAGCUUUGACACGCAAGAUCUCCGAAGGUCCGCGUAAUUAAUCGAUUGUCGGCCGUCACGCUUCGGGAAAAAAAAAUGUAUGGAAAGAAUAAAAAAAAAAAAAAAGAUAUACACGUUACAUACAUACAUAUAUAGAUAUAUAUAUAUAUAUAUAUAUAUAUAUUUAUAUAUACAUAUAUGCAUACAUAAAUAUAUUCGUUAUCCUCGAGGCUCGACGAGACGACGCUCGACGAUCAUAUCGCAUUCCAAACGAGACUACAGAUGCUUUAGCCGGCACUGUCGCGUGUCUCUCGGAACACGUUAUUUUUUUUUUUUCCCUCUUCCAUUUGUGUUUACACACACGCACAUGGACGCACACAGUUAGCAUAGAUACACCUUGCCGUAUCUGCUGCGUGCCGAUUGGUAUGCGACAGGAAAGGUCGACUUCUUGAGAUCUUCGAGGCGUUGCGAGCAAUUCGAUGUGUGUCCAUGAUCUUUUCGUUAGAAUCACGGAACUCACUACGAAUCCAUCCUCCGUUCGUCCUCUGUCUCUGAUGAAGAAAAAGGAAAGGAAAAUAUGGGGGGAGUGAUACAAAAGAAAGAAAAAAAAGAAAAGAAAGUAGAUCGUUAUUAUUCAUGAUUAUUCGCCGAACGAGAAAAUCUUUCUUCUUCUCUAAUCGUUGAAAUGCGCGUUUAUUGAUUUCACAGAAUUCCGAUUAAUUCCGUUCACUUUAUCGGGAAUAAUAGAAUGUAAUGGGUAAAAAUAGAUGGAACUGUUUAUUUAGCGAUUUAGCAUUAAUAUAUACAUAUGUACAUAUAUGUAUCUCUUGGAUGGAUACGGCGUUGGAUCAACGAUCGAUCGUUCAAGCACUUAUUACCCUCGAGCGUCUGGCGCGCCUCAUUUCUAUAAAGCCAAGUGGGCGGUUUAUAUCUCGGCGGAUAGUUAAAAGACAAACGAGAGAUCGUAAGCCAAAAGAGAAGGAUAAAAAAAAAA
Molecule: long non-coding RNA, 1210 nt
Organism: Vespa mandarinia (Asian giant hornet)
Lineage: Eukaryota; Metazoa; Arthropoda; Insecta; Hymenoptera; Vespidae
Source: RefSeq, a predicted model, not a curated record